Molecule: ribosomal RNA, 129 nt
Filed under: Sulfuricella sp.
Lineage: Bacteria; Pseudomonadati; Pseudomonadota; Betaproteobacteria; Nitrosomonadales; Sulfuricellaceae
Description: Bacterial small subunit ribosomal RNA
Rfam family: Bacterial small subunit ribosomal RNA
Source: Rfam by way of RNAcentral
AAACUGAAGAGUUUGAUCCUGGCUCAGAUUGAACGCUGGCGGAAUGCUUUACACAUGCAAGUCGAACGGCAGCACGGGUGCUUGCACCUGGUGGCGAGUGGCGAACGGGUGAGUAACAUAUCGGAACAU